GAGAAACUGGUGUGGAUGAUCUUAGUUGUUAUACAUGAUAACAGUAAACUGUAGCGGCUACAAAAUAUAUUAUGAGUAUUCAUUUGAUGAUUUUUUAUAAAAGCGAUCUUUUAAUUUUUACCCUAUUUAAAAUAUACAAUUUAUCUUCCUUCCUACCUAAGGGAGUACUCUGAUUGAUGCGUAUGAUAAUCACCUGGUGCUUCUGUGAAUCGAAUUUUUACAGUCUAUUAAACGCUGCCACGAGACAUUUUAAAAAUUAUUCUUAUUUAAUUUUAAUUAAAUAAACCAAUAGCACUCAGUUGACUCCGCCGCCGCCCUUUCCUUCGCCCAUAUGCCGGCCGUCGCCAAUCGCCUGAAUCUCACGACUGGCGUUCACCGCUUCCUCCUCCCUCUGUCUCUUCUCCGCUAAACACGUCGCCAUCCCGUAGCUGCACCUCCAUCCCCUCUCCUCUCCUCUCCUUCAGGAUGUAACAUCUCUUUUGAAUGAUAAUUUCUGCUGGCAUUUCCCUAUUAUCUAUAAACCAGUUAUAAUGUAGAGCUUAGCGAUCACUGAAUUUGAUGACGACGAUGUGAUAUUCUGCUUUGCUUGUGCUCCUCCACCUCUUCGUCAGAAAAGAAUAACAGAAAAGCUUCUACUGUGGUCUCUGAGUUAUUGACCGCCUUGAAUUCAGAUAGAAAGUGAGAAAAGGAAGAGAGAAAAAGAGUUGAAUGGCAGCCUGGGGCAUUCUAUCUUCCAUCAUCAAUGGCUAUUGGAGAAGCUACACAAUUUGGAAUCAUCGCCGUCCUUGUCUGCAGCAGAGAGCAAUUUAAAAUAAGAGAUGAGGGAGCUGGAAAAAACCAUGAAGAGAAUCCAAGCCAAAAUUGUCAAUCUAGAGCUAGAGGAGAAAUAUAAAAGUGAGUCAGAAAAAUUUUGGUUCAGUGAGCUCAAAGAGGUAGUAUAUGAUGCUCAAGACAUAGUGGAGGAGUAUGGAUAUGAGGAGUUGCAUUCCAAACUAAAGAUGGCAAAAGAAAGUAGCAACGAUAAAUGUAAGCAUAAAGUAAUCAACUACCCGAUCACCACUUCCUUAGAUACUUCAAUUCUGGAUGAAUUAGUAGAAAAAGUUAAGAAGAUGAGGAAGAGAUUUGACGAGAUCACUAAAGAUUAGGAAUCCCCUAUAGGAUCGGCUAAAAAAAUUAUAAAGAGAAAGGGUAGACAUUUAGCCAAGCCUCCAGAGACAGGACCUUUAUUGGCUGAAUCAGAUGUUUAUGGAAGAGAAGAGGAAAAGAAGAUUUUAGUUGAAUUUUUGGUGUCUGAGGAUUAUACUAAUAGUGCAGGAAAUGCAGUGUCAGUGCUUCCUAUAAUCGUCAUGGAGGGAAUUGGUAAAACCACUCUCGCAAAGCUUGUAUAUUAUGAUCAGAGGGUACAAAGCUAUUAUGAUUCAACAGCAUGGGUCGAUGUAGUUGAAUCUUUUCGUGAUCAGUUUAACACGAAAGAAUCUGGAAUCCUUCUUAACAGACAAAGUUAAUUACGAAGAACUAGAUGAGCUCCAACAUGCGCUACAACAAAAGCUGCAGGGGAAAAAGUUUUUACUGAUCAUAGAUGAUGUUUGGGAUGAUAAUUUUGCUCUUUGGGAGCAAGUAACUACUGUCGGUAAAAUCAUUGUAACUACUAGGAGUGAAUCAGUUGCUAAAGUAAUGGAGACACCCGGAUAUGGUUUGAAACUGAAUGUCUUGCCUUUUGAUGUAUGCUGGUCGCUGUUCAAGAGAAUUGCAUUUGAAGGAUGAGAUCCAAGCAUGCAUGACACUUUUGUAGAACUUGGUUUGAAGAUUGUAGAAAAAUGUAGAGGAUUGCUAUUGGCUGUGAAGGUGCUUGGGUAUGCUUUAAGGAAUAAAGACGAUGAAUAUAUGUGGAUGGA
Long non-coding RNA from Zingiber officinale, 1895 nucleotides. RefSeq lists it as uncharacterized. The record is from RefSeq and is a predicted model, not a curated record. The transcript is spliced from 2 exons. Lineage: Eukaryota; Viridiplantae; Streptophyta; Magnoliopsida; Zingiberales; Zingiberaceae.